CGGACGGGUGAGUAACGCGUGGAUAACCUGCCGUAUGCAGGGGGAUACCAACUGGAAACAGUUGCUAAUACCGCAUAAGCGCACAGUACCGCAUGGUAUAGUGUGAAAAGAUUUAUCGGCAUACGAUGGAUCCGCGUCCGAUUAGCCAGUUGGCGGGGUAGAAGCCCACCAAAGCGACGAUCGGUAGCCGGCCUGAGAGGGCGGACGGCCACAUUGGGACUGAGACACGGCCCAAACUCCUACGGAAGGCAGCAG
Molecule: ribosomal RNA, 255 nt
Filed under: uncultured bacterium
Lineage: Bacteria
Description: partial 16S ribosomal RNA
Rfam family: Bacterial small subunit ribosomal RNA
Source: RNAcentral